Long non-coding RNA from Macrobrachium nipponense, 7493 nucleotides. RefSeq lists it as uncharacterized. NCBI's taxonomy places the organism in Eukaryota, Metazoa, Arthropoda, Malacostraca, Decapoda, Palaemonidae. The transcript has 2 exons. The record is from RefSeq and is a predicted model, not a curated record.
AGCGGGAUGAUAUCAGUUUUGGAAAUGGGUGGAUUUUCAUCAUUACUUGGUUUGUUUCAGAUUUUUAUAUGUAUUUUACCUUGGUUUCAAAUUUUUCAUAUUUUUAUUUUCUAUUAUUUUUAUUGUUUUUUUUAUAUUUGUGUUACUUUUAUUGUUAUUGUUAUUUUUUACAUAUUUAUUUUUAUAUCUUAUUAUUUUUAUUGAUAUUUUUAUUAAUGUAAUGUUUAUUUUAUUUUUAUUUUUCUAUUGUGUAUUAUUUUUCUAAUUUUUAUUGUUUUUUCUUCUGUCUCGACUGCCCUUAGGGGUUGUGUAAGACACAGGUGGAGAUAAUGUAUGACCCACAUUGAUAACAGUAAUGUUUACCUGAUAAAAAAAAUUUUCUUGACGCAAGUAUUUUUUUACUCAUAACCUCUUGACAAUACUCUGAAACGCACCGGUUGUACCGCUCUUGUUUUGUGUUCUUCCAGGAUUAAUAGUAUUUUCUAUUAAUCCUGGUGUUCGUCAUUGGAAUAAUCCUGGCGGUUGAUGACAAGCUUGGUUGCGUUGUUAUGAGAGAGAGAGAGAGAGAGAGAGAUGGAAUUGAUAUUAAAACAUGUAAUUAAAAAAUAGCUGUUUAGCAUUAAUGUAGGAAUCUGUGGAAUUUCCAGUCGAGAUUUUUUCCUUCCUUUUUUGCAAAAGGAAAACUAAUCUGUCUCUCUCUCGGGGUUGGAGAUUGGGUCUUUGCCCGCGGCCUUUCGUGAACCCAAUUCCCAAGGUAUAUAGAUAGGGGAGUGGUGCGUGCAUCCAAUAUCAUCAGACUGAUCUCUUCCUCGAAAUCAGGGAAGACUCAAUUGAGUUGACGAGGCCUCGAGAAAUGAACCAGAGGAGAAUGGAAAUUCUGUAAAAAAAAAAAAAUAAUAAUAAUAAUAAUAAAAAUAUAUGGGAAGUGUGCAGAGUUAGUCUCUUCUUUCUGUAUUUACCUUGACCACCUCUUACUUCUUCCUAAUAACACCAUAUUCUUUGGAAGCUUGACGUUCAAUUCAAGUCAGUGGUCCCUAUGGGCCUGUUUUGUAUGAAAAACAGUUCAUCUUCUGAAUAAUAAUAGUAAUAUAUUUCGUCUCGCAAACGGUGUUGUGGUAUUCAGCUUAAAAAUUAAUAAUUGUAAUGCAAUAUAUAUAAAGCCUUUUUAACUAUAUAAACCAUUAUUUUUAAUAGUGGAAGACUGUCCAGAGAAGCUUUUAAAUUGUUUCUUUCGAAACGAUAAUUCAACUGACUCUGUGCUUACUGCAUUGAAUGUAGUCUUUCCCCUGCACCUCUGAAAACAGAGAAAUAACUACGCAGUCUUAUCUGGUGGUAACGUGACUCAUUACAGAAAUAACAUCCCCAAGGAGUCCAUGAAAAGUCCCUUCGCGUGACAAGGCACCGAAGCCAAGCAAGGGAACAGUCACGUAAAAUUCAUAUCGUCAGCAUCGCAGUUUUUCCAAGACCCUCCUUUCUUUCGAAUGGGGUCAGAAUUAUUAUUAUAAAAACUGUCAAGUAUACUUUUGUCCGUAUACUGACACGUAGGAUUGUAAUAGUUAGCAGUGGUUUGCCAUGGUCUGAGCAACCCAAAGCGUCAUCAAGUUUGCGUGGCCUUGAAAGGAAAUUUAAAUCUUCCUGCUUAUCAACUUUAACGGUCAAGUCGGCGAAUGCUUGAGCAACCCCACGCGCUAAAAAUAGGGAGGCUGGAUGUGGGGAAAGGUCAUCCUCUCCUCGUAUCAGUAUCGCUCGCAGUCGCGCGAUAUUUACUUUUACUUUCAGGAUGUCGAUGGUGCUUGAUCGGUAGCGGUCUUGUAAUGGCUUUUCGAAAUUAAGUAUGGUUCAGACUUCACUUCUACACACUUUUGUUUAGCUUUUCCUAUUUCAGUGAAAGAAUGAUUGUCUGGGUCUGGCGAUAUUUGUUCAAUAGACGUCAGAGUUGAUGGUCCAGUUCUGAUGAUAUUUUUUUUUAAUAGACGUCAGAGUUGAUGGUCCAGUUCUGACGAUUAUUUUUUCAUCAAAUAGACGUCAGAGUUGGUAGUCCAGGUCUGACGACAAUUGUGUAAUAGACGUCAGAGUUGGUGGUGCAGUUCUAGCGAUUUUUUUAUGGACGUCAGAGCUGAUGGUCCAAUUCUAACGAGUAUUUUUUUUUAAAUAGACGUCAGAGUUGAUGGGAAACACUGCAACUAGAUUAAGUUUAUAGAAGAACAGUUAUGAAAUGAAGCAGAGUAUUACCCAGUUCCUCCACUGUGUUCAUGAUUGUUUUUCCAUUAUUGUUUUUCCAUGGGUGCUAACCUAACAGUUCUUUCAUAGUUCGAGGUUUUCCUCCUGUUAACCAUCCAAACCCUUUUUCCUUUCUUUUUCCCUUUCAACGCCGAAUGACCUCAUGGGUCCCAGCGCUUGGCUUUUGGUCUAAAUUUUAUGGUCCGUAGCUAAUUAACCUAGAGAUGGUUUGAUGCGAGUCAUGUUUUUGGAUAUAGUGUAUUUUGUUAGCAUAUGUUGCUGGUUUUAAUGAACCGCGGAUACAUGUCAUUUACGGUUUUUAUUGGCUCUCGUUGGUGCAUACGAUGAGCUUCGUCAUGGUGUUUUCCCAUUUGGGAGGUGCUGCAAAUGCAAUGGUGUCUGCGUCGGCUCCCGGACGGGUUUAUUGAUCUGAGAGGGUUGGCGGAGCCGGUGCGUUGGGUGGAAGGAAGGAAAGAGGGCGUAGGGGAUUUUGAGAGGAAUUAUUUCGUCGUUGAAAAAUUAUAACUGUGUGUGUAAGAAGCCUCUUGGUUAAGCCAUGGCAUCUGCGACCUUGUGAAUUGUAGUGAUAUAAUUCAUGAAUUAAAUAGCGGUCAAACCCCAUCCCUCGGUACUUGAAAAGGGACACUGCUUCGCCCGUCCUAUGGCCCUCUGCUCUUAGAGAUGACUGAAUAAUUCCAUAACUGGAAGGAACUGCCUUUCAUUAUUGGUUAGACAGUAUACUCUUGACUGCCCCACCCAACUGACAAUAUUCUUCUUUGGUUCAAGACAAAAAAUGGUCCUUGUUAUCUGGGUUAUCUUGAAAGGUUUAGAAGGCCAAUUUGAUUUUGCUUUAGUUUGUACACAUUGCCGUCGAUGUUGCUGACUUCAGCGUAAUCAUUUCAGCCAAAAAAAUGUAAUCAGACCGUAUCAACGCAAAAUGAUGUAUACCACUGAUAAACUGGCUGACGAUAACGUUAUUUACUAACGAGGUAUGAUGAUGGUCUGUGACGUACAAGCCUGGGGACUUGGGUGAGGUCGCCCACUGGCACUUGUGGUAACAUACAAUUUCACAGCUGUUCUUGACAGCAUCGCUCGUUUUACAGUCUGUUCUUUGAGGAGCAAAAGUCAGUCAAUUAGGAGUAUUAAAACUACACUAGCUUUAAUUGUUGAAAAAAAAAACUUAUUUCGGUCAUUAAAGACUAAACUAUCAAGUUUCCAAUAAAUAGGAUAUCAGUGUGGGAAGGAGGAAGACAGCUGAGAAUACAGAAGUUUAAUUAUGUAAACUUAAAUAUAUAUUUGUGGAGUUGAAUUACCGAACAAAAUUGUGGCUUUUAGGCGAAUCAUUCCAGUCAUUCUUAAGUUUCGACACUUGCACACUUCCGCGAAGAUUCAUCCUCUGGUGCUGUUAUUUGAGUGGUUGCUGAUGUUAUGAGUAAUGCGUAGCAAGCAGUAAAAACGUCGAAAAAAAGUAUUAGCCGAAAUGAAAGUAAGGAACAAAUUUGCCUGUGAGAUAAAGGCAAGGUCGUUGGAUACCGCUAAGGUAAUAGCUUGGUGGAUGGAAUCGAUCAAAAGAUGUAGGGAUUCUGCGCUUAGGAGGUAUGGCGAAGGAUGCCAACCUGUUUGGUUACAUAUAUAUUUGUAAUUAUAACCAUUGAGUGAGGUAACUUUGCGCCCAAGGCUAUGCAAAGGGUUAGCAAAUUACACAGUGAGCAUAUCUUUAACAGCGGUUCUUUAGGAAAUAUACACAGUACAAGGCUUGUUUACAAAGAAUCAAACGUUUACCUUUGAAGAUAAAUUAAUCUACGGGAGCUCCUGUAGAUGUACGGUGGACAUAAUUGUAUGUGACAGGAAUUAAUCUAUAGCAGGAAGUAGCAUCAACAUAAGGAAGACGCUACCGCACCAUUAGCUUACCGGUCGUCCCAUUUCUCAGGGUUACUCAUAUUGCAGACUUCCUUGUUGCAGGUAACAGGAUUUCUCAUAAGGAAAUUCAGUGCGAACAGUUCUAUAACAUAUUGCGAGAGAAUGGAAUGGCCUGGGUGACUACUUUAAGACCCCAGAACCCUCACUAUUCCAGCUAGCAAAACCGUACUAUUUUUUCCUAAUUAGCCAACGGUCAAUAGCCAGAUGUUUAUGCCCUUCACUGCAUUAUGUAACAUCGAGGUUUUAUCAUGAAUUCUCACACGUGGGCGGGAGUGUGUGGAUCAGCGAUAGGGGGAAGGGAACGGGAUCCUAUGAACCCCUUGCCCAAACCCUACCCCACCCUUACCAUAGCUGGCUGCAACGUGUCACGUGGAUCCGAACAUGGGUUUCCAGCAUAGCAGCUUGAACUUGGUUACACCCAUAGUCGCGUCUACUACAUUCCGGCUGCUCCUCUCCGUCCACGCCGCUUUCAACGUGAUCUGCGGAUGCUGUUGCCACGUAUGGGAUGGGAGGGUAUAGGAUGGCGAGGGAUGCUGUGCAGAGGAGGGUAGGGGGUCAGUGGAGUCGGGGCUUGGCCCAAGGUAUUUUGCCUUGGUUCCCUGCAGGCUCUAGACCAGGGUUUCCUUUGGGUUGGAUGGUAACAAAGAAAGGAAUUUUACUAUGUUCUCUCUCUCUCUCUCUCUCUCUCUCUCUCUCUCUCUCUCUCUCUCUCUCUCUCUCUCUCUCUCUCUCUCUCCUUUAACCAUGCAGAUCUGCAGAUAUGUCUAAACCUUCUUGGACUGUGAAGUUUGGUACAGUAAUUGCAAAUGUUUAUAUGAGUGAAGUCUUGCUUUCGUACUAUAAAUAAAUAGAGAAGCAGGUUUCAUUAGUAGAACGCAAAUACUAGUUUUAGUGAUAUACUGACCAUCAGUGUGUUAGUACUGGACUUCUGAUUUAUGUCGUAAAUUAUUAAUUUGGUCAGUGUUUUCAUUACAGAUAUUUAAAAAGAUUUUAUGUAUUAAUGGAUAUUGGUAUUGGCAAUGGGAAAAUUCUCUCUCUCUCUCUCUCUCUCUCUCUCUCUCUCUCUCUCUCUCUCUCUCUCUCUCUCUCUCUCUCUCUCUCAAUGAAUUCAGAAGAAAUCCGAUCGAUCCAAGUCUUAUUAAGAUGAGCACACCCGUCAGAAGAGAGUCGGGGGUAUCCAUGAUGUGGUGAAAAAUAAUUCCACGCCCAGUCUGCCACAGCUAUCACCGCCAGAUAGCUCCUUUCAAUUUAGAAGUUGCUUGCUAUCUAGUCGUGAUAAGCCCAAGGUCUUGUGACCUAUUUGGCACUGUGCCAGAUCCGUGGAAAAUGAAUGGGCGGUACUUAUUCAUUAGUCUGUGCUCCUUUCGGCGUGUUAGAGCUGGCGUUGUUCAAUGAGUUUUAAUGUUAUUGUAGUUUGUGUACUGAAUUUUCCUAUUUUUCUCAUAUUCUUAUAAAGGAGAACGGUAACGAUGUAAUGUUUUUUGGUAAAUGGAUUUUCCCUUUUCCCCGUCGACGUUUAGUGUCCUUGACAUGAAGUGACUGAAUAUCUCUCUCUCUCUCUCUCUCUCUCUCUCUCUCUCUCUCUCUCUCUCUCUCUCUCUCUCUCUCUCUCUCUCUCUCUCUCUCUCUCUCUCUGUCAGGAAUUUAUCUAGUCUUCCUUGUUACCAAGGGAACAUUCAGUGUGGAAACUUAUUUCCUGUCGUCGGCGUUUCUUGCUGUUUGAAUGGCUUCUUGCUGUAACAUUGAACUUUACGGAGUUUUGUUUCCUCCUUGGCGGUGUUUUAUUUUGGUUGGUUGGGCAAGUGAUGUUAAUGAGAAGUUGCCUUUGAGCUGCAUUCAGUGCCAAGGCUUCUAUCGGCGUUUUUCUUCCCGUGUAACCACAAGAGUUCAGUUGUGAUACAUUGUGUUGUGGAAGUCAUCUCCACAAGUCAUUUGUUGUUCAUGCCCAUGCCCAUUUUAAUAGUAACUGUUUUAUCACAUAUUCAUACACGCUUUGUCUAUUUGUAUGUAUGUGUGUGUGUAUGUAUGUAUGUAUGUAAUGUAUAUGUAUGCAUUAUUUACUUGUGAUGACAGUCCCGUAGAAGGAAACAAUCAAAAUAGAUCAAUAAUUUAGCCCUUAUAUUUAAACCUGCCAAGGUGCACAUUCACAAAUGACACUGGACAUCGUACAGGGCUUAUUUUGUGAUUUAAACUUUUGGACAACUUUGUAUCAAAACGCGUUAAUUUCUAUUAACAUAAGCAUUCAUGCUUAUGGAUAGUGCACCACGGAAGCAGUUAAGCAAUACUGUAAUUCUUAAUUUAAAAUGUCUGUGUGAAUAUUGUUUAAAAUUUAAAAUGUCUGUGUAAAUAAAGUUAAACAAAGAAAUGUGUUCACGAGAUGGAAACGUGGACAGUGCACAGAGGGGUACGUACGUAGUUGGCCGGUUAUUUGAGAGAUAUCUUCACGUGUUGGCACUGGGCACUCGCUGCCCAUUCAGGUGCCAGAUCUCCCAGUGCAGAUUUCUGAAGAAUGCAGGAUGCGAUAGGAGUAAUGUUUCUUAUCGCUGAAAAGUUUUAUAAAUUGUUUCACUGGUGGUAUAUGAGUCAUCGUUGGUGAAAUAUGUGUGGGUCACUAUUUUGUCAUAUUUUUUUAUGUUGCUAAUAAUUUUUUUUUCAUAAUUAAUGUAAUAAACCCUAUACUUGCCUUGACUUUCCAUGCAGGGAUGUCCACUUUGCAUAUGUUUUUCAGUCUGUGGAAUUCUUAUAUUCCUUCCAAAUGGAAACUUUAUACUUAGCUUGUUUAAAUCCAUUUAUAUGGCGCUCCCAAUAUUGCAGUCAGCCGUGAUAAAUAAAUGCUGUACCUUAAACACCUAAUUGGCAGGGAGCCUUUUAGGUUGAAAAAUGAGUCCCUCUUAGGGACUUGGCUGUGGGAUGCGUCGUUUCUUUACAUCGUAAGCAUUCGUACGUGAAAUUUUUAAUCAGGUGUUUUAGAUUAGAACACUCGCCUUUUUCCGUUGCAUCCUGGCUUGGACGUUCAGUAUGCCGAGUUAAACUAAGGCUUUCAAUACGGACUCAUACCGAUGAAAUUUAGUUUUAUCGUUAAGCAAGUAAAUUGUAAUGAGGUAAUAUUGAUGUUGGUUUUUAUUAAAUAUGUAUAUAUUAUUUCUUGGCUACAUUACUCAACCAUCUUUAUGUAUGAAACCUUAAAUUCGUUCCUUCGUAUAUUUCUAAGGUUAUACGUGUACUGUUAUUUUGAGUUCUAAAUUUGGAGACAAGGUGUCAAGAGAAGUCUUCUCCACUAUUUGAAAUCUCUCUCUCUCUCUCUCUCUCUCUCUCUCUCUCUCUCUCUCUCUCUCUCUCUCUCUCUCUCUCUC